This is a long non-coding RNA of Mus musculus (house mouse), 2644 nucleotides long. RefSeq annotates it as predicted gene 13021. Lineage: Eukaryota; Metazoa; Chordata; Mammalia; Rodentia; Muridae. The record is from RefSeq and is a predicted model, not a curated record. The transcript has 7 exons.
GAAGAGAGGAGAAAAGGAGGAAGCAGAGGACGUGGGGCAAAGUCUUAUUCCUGAGAGACAGACACAAAGCACACCCUAACUCCAGGAGACCAGAGAGGCAUGUGGCACCUUAGGGAGGAGCUGGCUGGGCUUCUGUCCAUCUGCAGAGGCUCAUGGGACACAGGCUGAGGUUGACAGGACACCCAGGAUCCCUGCUGAGGACAGGACCCCCACCCAACCCCUCCCGGGUGGCUUCUCUUCCCAAGUCUAAGGCUGUACCUCAGGCUCAAGACUAUCUGCUGACCUCCCUGGGGCACCGCUGUGGGCCAAACCGUGUGCACUCCAUACUUGGAGACUAGACAUCACAAGAGUACUAAGAUUGCAGGCAUAUGAACCAUAGCAGGAGGGGUCUACAUAGGACAUAAUGCCAUUAUGGUGAGUGACUGCCACACUUUCCCAGGCCAAAGCCAUUCCCACCUCAUGACCGUUCAGUUAAGGGUGUUGGGACAACGGGCAACUGUAGUCAUCUAAGGCAAGCCUUUGAGCCUUUGCACACACUGUUCCCUCAUAUCCCAGAAUGUCCUUCCCCACAUCCCAGAAUGCCCCUCCCCAUAUCCCAGAAUGCCCCUCCCCACAUCCCAGAAUGCCCUUCCCCACAUCCCUUCCUACCUGUGUGUAAGGCUGAGGAGGGUCUGCAAAGUUUCUCCAGCCCUGAUGGAGCUGAGGUGUGCCUAUCCCUCGCCCAGGCACUCACAGCCACCGAGCAGCCUACAAGGCGAUGACAGUCAUGACUGCUGCCCAGCAAUUCAGUCAUGUGUUUCUGAAGGCCUUGGGCUGCCCCUGUAGCUCCCCAGUCACUGCCCUUCAGGAAGGAAGGGACCCAGAGAGCUCCAGAAGAAAACUUCCUGAGCCGCUGAAGAGGGACGUCUGACAGCCUCGUUCCGGGUUCAGGGGAGACCCUGUGUCAAGGGAGUAAGACAUGGACAUGUGCAGCACACACACAUGCACACUGAACACACACACAUGCACACUGCACACAUACACAUGUACACUGCAUACAUACACAUGCACACACAUGCAUACUGCACACACACACAUGCACACACACACAUGCACAUUGCACACACACACCAUUCACUCUCGCACAUACACAUCAUACACACAUACUGCACACUCAUACCACAUACACAUCACACACAAUCACUCAUACGUGCAUACUACACACACACAUGAAUGAACACAUCACAUACAUACACACACAUGCACACAACACACACCAUACAUAUACCACUCACAUACACAUGCCCUCUGCACACACACACACAUACACCAUUCACUCACACACAUACACAUCAUGCACACAUACUGCACCCACACGCACACAUCACACAAUCCACUCACACAUGCACACUGUACACACACACACACACACAUGUACACAUGCACGCAUGCGCAUGUACACACACACACACACCAUUCACUCACACACAUGCACAUCAUAUACACAUACCGCACACACAUACCACACACACAUCACACACAAUCACACACACUCAAGUGCCCUGAUACAUGCAAACACACAUACACACAAACAGGCACACACGCACAGCCAGUCAGCCCAGCUGGCUCUCAUAAAUACGUACAGUGCUAGGUCUCUUGGACCAUAAACUCUUCUCCUGUUCCUAGUUCCAGGGGCAGCCUGGCCCAUGGGGAAGAGAUGAACAGUAAGAAAGUGGGGUGGGGAGUGCCAACCUGAGGUUGGCCCACCAGGUCUGCCACAGUCAGGCCUCCAGCCUGUUCACUGAGCGCCUCCUCUGGCCAGAAAGAGAAGCGCACCCUGCCUCACUCACCCAUGGCACAGGGUUCCUGCAGCCUUGAGGUACAGGCCUUUAAUUUUUAUGUGUGCUUAGCCACUUGUCCUAGUGAGGAAAUAAUUUAAUUAACUCUGAGAACUGUAAUUAAUUUUAAUUGUUCAUGGUAAUUCAUUGCUGAAUACUCUAUUAAUAAUUAUUAAAAUCUUAAUGCCCAGUUACUGUCCUGUGAUAGAAUAAUUAAACGCUUGUGUGGGGGACACUUCAUUUCAAGUACCUCUUGUCCCUCCAUCCUCCAGAGCUAAGUUUUCUACCCUCAGCCAAGUCCCCUGGGGGCUCCCAAAGGUGGUGGCUUCUCUCAGGCCUCUGGGAAGGAUGCUGUGGUCAUCCACUCUGCAGCAGGCAGAGGAGAGAGUAGCCACCACCACAGCACAGCUGCCACGGGAAGCCCUGUGUACUCCUCUCUUCUGACCUGGCCACACAAUGACCUCACAGUGACCUUGAGAAUGGAGGUUAAUUAGGUCAUCGCAUUAGUCGACAUUCACCACACCCUCUGCCCACACUAACUGCUGACACAGGAGCCAUUCUGGAGACACGGACAAAGUGCUGACCCCCAAAGUUAUGAGAAGUGGCGAGUCCCGAGGGUACCUGGGGAAAAGAGGAUGCGAGUCCACCCUCCCUCUGGUCUUAGCCUUUGGAGUCAGGCCAGGAGAGCAGGAGCUGCAGAUCCGAAGCCCAGCCCCAGCACCCACAGAGGAUUGCCGCCGCCACUGGACCCUCAGUAUUUAAAUCACCCAUUGACUUAAACAAUCAUACCCUGCCUCUGCUUUGAGAAUAAAGGCCCCACCACCAUG